CGUCGCUGCAGCUGCCAGGAGCUCCUGAGGAAGUGGCUCGAGGCCCCGGGGCGGGUCAGGCGUAGGGUGGGCCCGCUGCCCUCACACCCGCCCCGGCCGCACACAGGAGGCGCGAUCAGCAGAGUCGUUGGACAGUUCUGGAGGCCGGAAGUUGAGAUCAAGGUGUCAGCAGGGCUGUGCUCUGCGGAGAAUGCUGGGGAAGGAUCUGUCCAGGACUCUCUCCGCUUCUGGUGGUUCCUUGGCAUGUGGCAGCAUCACUCCAAUCAGCAUGUGGCAUCCUCCCUGUGUGCCUGGGUCUGUGUCCAGACUUCCCCUUUUCAGAAGGACACCAGCUGUGUUGAAUGACAGCCCACCUGGCUCCAGUGUGACCUCAUUCUAACUUAACUAACAUCUGCAAUGACCCUGUUUCCAAAUGAGGUCACAAUCUG
This 428-nucleotide long non-coding RNA is filed under the name Homo sapiens (human). Its description in RNAcentral is "HSALNT0357489". Lineage: Eukaryota; Metazoa; Chordata; Mammalia; Primates; Hominidae. The record is from RNAcentral.